GAUGAACGCUGGCGGCGUGCCUAACACAUGCAAGUCGAGCGAUUCUCUUCGGAGAAGAGCGGCGGACGGGUGAGUAACGCGUGGGUAACCUGCCCCGUACACACGGAUAACAUACCGAAAGGUAUGCUAAUACGAGAUAAUAUGCUUUUAUCGCACGGUAGAAGUAUCAAAGCUCCGGCGGUACAGGAUGGACCCGCGUCUGAUUAGCUAGUUGGUAAGGUAACGGCUUACCAAGGCGACGAUCAGUAGCCGACCUGAGAGGGUGAUCGGCCACAUUGGAACUGAGACACGGUCCAAACUCCUACGGGAGGCAGCAGUGGGGAAUAUUGCACAAUGGGCGAAAGCCUGAUGCAGCAACGCCGCGUGAGCGAUGAAGGCCUUCGGGUCGUAAAGCUCUGUCCUCAAGGAAGAUAAUGACGGUACUUGAGGAGGAAGCCCCGGCUAACUACGUGCCAGCCGCCGCCGUAA
This 468-nucleotide ribosomal RNA is filed under the name uncultured bacterium. Its description in RNAcentral is "partial 16S ribosomal RNA". It matches the Rfam family "Bacterial small subunit ribosomal RNA", at positions 28 to 523 of the family's 1533-position model. The record is from RNAcentral.